UUUCCUUUUCGCGCUUGAGAUGUGGUCUGGUGGGAUAUCGGGUACUCGUCCGAAGGUCGUUUAAAUAUUAGUUAUAUAUCAUGUGUACAUAUAUAGUCAUAAAAGGUCCUUCCAGUUCAUCCCAUGCCCUUGGNGGGUAGCAAGGGUAUACAUCCAUUUCCAUACGUACUAGUUAGAUUACUAGUAAACUACCAUAUGGGUAGUUUAGGAAGAUAUUAGAACUAUUACUAGAACGCGAUAUCAUAAUAUGAGUCAGUUCAUUCAUGAGUCAAUACUUACUACUAGAAGAACGUAUACAACUAUACUAGAGAAGAACAUAUACAACUAUACUAGAGAAGAACAUACACAACUAUACUAGAAAGAGAACAUAUACAACGAUACCAGAACGAUUACAUUACUAUACUUGCUAGAUAAAGAGAGAACACACAUUUCAGCUAGCACACGUAGAACAUUACAGUACACUACUAUACUAUUACAUGAUCACACUUACAUAAGUACAAUUACAAGAUCACGCUUACAUGAGUACGCUUACAUAUACAUAGAACAUACGUCACUAGGUGCUAUAGCAUGGAACCAGUUCAGGAUCUAACUAUACCGAUGAAUCACAACGCAAUUGUAAUUUUUAUAUCGAGUAUACAUGAUAAUAGUAAUGUGGAUGCUCAUCGCUUGCAUACAUGCAUGGGUCGUGAGUAGGUCCCAAAAUCCCUUUGAUAGGGGAGCGUAUAGUCUGGGAUCUAGACAUCACAUUAUACCUUAUACCUCAAACAAGGCAGUUAAGUACCGAUGUAGUUAUUUAUUUCAAAUACUACAGUACUUAGAAGAAUUACCCAAGACUUAAGGUAAUUAGUAAGGUUGUAGUUCGACAGUACACCAUAGUACUAUUUCAUUUUCCCAUUACAUUCACUUCGUGAACAUUCACACGACGCACGGAGAUGUAGAAACUAUCUUUUUGGUUAAUGAUAGUCAGACUUGGGAAAAUACACACUCUUACAAGAGACACACACAGACACUGGAUGCCUUGGUAGAAGGCUACAUAUAGAUCAGUUAAGUCUUGGUAGAAGACUCCCUGUUAUAAUAGUAGGAAACAUAGGGAUUUCUAGAGUUUUUUUCAAACGUUUACAGUUGUUUUACAAACAUUUUCAAUACUUACAGUUCAUAUACAAAUUCUUACAUACAAAUACUUACAUACAAAUUAAGACACUAAAAUACUUAUGAUCUCACCAGCUUCAAAGCUGAUACUCGCUUUCAAAAUUACUUGUAUCCUCAGGUCAUCAUAGACAGGUACCGAUGCAAGGAUUAGGGAAGAUGGAGCUCGUUGAAGACUCAUCUUUCAUUUUGAUUUAUGCUUUAGUGUUUAUCAAAAUUUGACAGAACACACUUGUAUAAUAAUUCUAUUAUUAAUGCAAUGGAUGAUGUUGUUGCUUGUUUACUACUUUACAUUGUUGUGAUACUGUACAUGACGUCCUCCGCCCCAGAACGUUUCCGCCGUUCUUGGUUUUGGGGUGUGAUAGAUUGGUAUCAGAGCAUUGUUUAUAGUGAAUUAAGUAUAUCAACCCAUAAAAGAUAUACUAACUAUAAAUACAUAAGGGAUUAAAAAUACUCUGACCAAGAGUUUAUACUUUAAAUAAUAAAAUAUUUAAUAAAGUAUACGGGCCUGCAUUCAUACUAAAAUCAGUGUCACUAGGACAGUACAAAAGAAUUAUGAUUGUUGGGAAACGCAAGUGGGCUUAGAGACAUAUGGUGAAAACUGGGAAGAUAUAGCAUGAUCACCUAUAUUAUCUGAGGGUUGACUAGCAUGUGCCUAAGUUUAAUUGUGUGGUUGCAACAAUGCUAAAAUCUUACCAACCCUACCACAAUGAGAACAAUAGAACAUAACAUUAAAUUUAAAAUACUAUAGGAGUAUUUGGUGUUACUAUAAGUACGUCAUACUUGAGAACUAAAACGGGAUCUUCAUUACUAAGUUGAUAGUUGCUAAGUGGAUACACUAAGGAUAUAUGUAAUUAGGAUGUUAUAGACUUAGAAUCUGUGAAAAUUUUACUUUACCCCUAUUCUGUGUGAAUUUGGAGUUAAGGUCACUUAUUCGAAGGCCUAUCCUGUUUCGAUUACAUAUAACUGGUAUGCACUUCACAAAUAGCGAUGUAACUAAUGAAGAUUUUCUAAAUAAUUAUCUAGAUAGUUCGUCUAAUAAUUAUUUUCUUACCCCAAUUCUCGCAUAGAUAACAUGGCUGGACUCCAUCCCCACGGCAACCAGUACCUUCCGAAUGAGGUCAUUGCUGGAUGGUUUGGAGAAGAACCAGAGAAUGAUCAUCUGAUCCCUUUGAAUGAUCACCAUGAUGAAAACCCUUCGGACGGUGCAAAUUCUGAACCAGAGGUUGAGAACCUACCCCAAAUAGCUCCCUUUCUAAUUCCUAACCCUCGUCCAGCUUUUUCAUGGCCCGAUGCCUGAGUGGGUGGAAUGCUUGGAAACAUGGAGCCAAGGACAAGAUCAGCCCAUGCCAUUUAAUGGCGACCGAAGCUUUUACGACCUGAGCAAUGGGGGCUCAGCAGACAGAGUCGUGCCAAUCUUGGUCCGUAGAGUGGCCCGAAAUGAGAUUCAAGGCAGGACAGCCCUACAUCAGAUUACCGAAGUUGUCGCUAAUGCGAGAAUGCAUACCCUCCGCACCAUUCGUCUAGAAGAUGCUCGCGAGAGAUCUGAGAGAAACCAUGAAACCCUGCUUCACGCACUGUCUGAGUCACGAGCCGAAGUCAUAGAGCUCCGAGUACGCCAGAGAGUGUACGAAAGACACCUUCUCGAUAUGGAACGACAACUGGCUGAGCUGAGAGUUCACCAGAGGAAUGACCGUCGUCGGUAGUAGAUGCUUUACUUUAUUUUCCUUGUUAAAAGGAAUCGUUUUUUCUGUCUAUGCCCGAUGUGGCAUUUUCUAUGAAAUUAUCUUGUACUGUAAGUACUUUUGUUAAGUCUUUAUGCUGUCAGGAACUAUCUUCUCUUGAUAUGAUGUAAGACCUGUACAAGGUCAUUUUCCCGAAUCUUUACGUCGUGAAUAUCAAAGAUAUUGACAGCCGGCUAACUUCUGUGUCAUUCUUUAUUCAAGUACUCUUAUCAUACUUUCAUUGGAGUCUAUCUAAAACCUGCUUUUGUCAAGUCAUUGGACUAUAGUAAUUUAGCUCCGGAGACAUUUCCAAGUCUCUUUCAGUUGUUGGAUCCUGUUAUUCACCAACCCACGAUACCUCGGCUUGAACGACAAACGUCUUGAGACCAUUCUACGAACUUACUUCUACUCAUUACUAGGACUGCAUCAUAGGGAUGUAGGUCAAACCUUCGCGAUCAUACUUCCAUUUUCGUGCUAGGACUGCAUCAUAGGGAUGUAGGUCAAACUUUCGAGAACAUACUCUUACUCUUUGAUUGAACAAUCACCGUGCACCUAGGGUCAACCAAAAUCGAUCACAAAUUCCUUAUCUUUCGUAUUACCGAAUCAUGUCGUCAUCCGGAAACAAUCAGUCGGACAACGAAACCUCUACCUUUCCUAUGGACGCCGCGACCUUCCAAACCGCAGUUACAACUGCCGUGAUGGCUGCCGUGACAGCUGUCCUUGCGCACCGUAGCGUUAUCAGCACAAGCUAUGCUGAUGUUGGGAUUGAAAAUUCCAAUCGUAGUAUCAAUCCAAGAAGUCGCCAAACAGUAACAGUUACAGGCUCGCAAAGUCGAAAGACAGAGAACAAGAAACGAAAGCGUCAAGCCCAGAAAGAACGCAAGAAAUCCCAAAGGCUGGCUAUACAACAGCAACAAGUUGAAACCCCUGCCAUCCCAGUGUCGAGCAGGCCAUAUGAGGGAAAAGUCCCGAAGUGUGAUAAGUGUAGUUUCCAUCAUCAUGGGGCUUCCCAUGAGAUGCAGUGUUGCAAUUACCUAAAAAGGGGGCACCAUGCUCGUGGCUGUGGAGCACCGACACGACCCAUCACUCAAGUCCCUUUCAUCCAGACUAACCCUACACACGAGAGUAGUUAUAAAGCCGAACGCUUUAGGAAGCAAUUUCCAAGGUGGAGUAAUGAGGAAGGCACUCGUGUCCACAUAACACUAGCUAAACACCUCACUUCCACCACCAAUAUUGGUGCUUUCCAGAUAUGUCACCAAUGCGGUGAAAUUGGACACUUCAAGAAAGAUUGCCCAAUAGCAAAGAACUUGGGUGUUCAUGGAAAGAUUCUCAGGAUCACAGCUGUAGGAGAGCCUACGCCGGAACCCUCGUUAAUGUAACUUAGGCGUGUUGUUGUAACAGACUUAUAAACUAUCAAGAACUAGUGCAACAAGAGUCGUACCUUUUGCAAGAUCCAGUCUGUAUAGGGAUUCUCGUGUUGCGUAUACUUAUCUUUUGUAGUAUAUCUUAUUCGCAGCAAUAGUCUUGUGGUAAAUCUAAAGUACUGUAACUCUGUUCAUGGUUGCAUGGUUGUGUUUUGUCUGUAAACGUCUUAUGUUCAAAUCUAAUGUCUUUAAGUUUCAGUAUGAUUCCGACAUGAUCAUACGACUCGAUUCAAUUUGAUCCUCACAAAAACAGCUUCAUACGUACAUCUCUUUCUUCUAGAUCACUUUUCCAGCGAAGCUGUCAUAUCAGAACACCGAAGUACUCAUGCCAGGAGUACCUCUUAGUUCUUUUCUUUUCCAAAGAAACCCUAGAAGUACCACUCGUGCAGUACGUCAAGUUUAAUCCAAGGAUUCAUACGAUUGAUCUAUCACUGAGGAAUGUAUACAUAAGAGUAAUAUAUAAUCAAGGUUCUAUAGGUUUAGAAGUGAUGAUUCCACUUUAACUUCUUUUUCCCCGAUGGGAUGUGAGCUUAAAGAAGAAUCAGUUAUUCGACUACCUUUUCAAGCUUAAUUAUAUACGACUCGUAUACACGAAAUUGUGAUUGUGAACCAUGUAUGAAUUCUAAUAUGAACUUCAGGACGGAGAACUGCCUAAGCCUACGAGUAAUCGCAUCGUCAUCUGAACAAACAUAGAACCCAGUACGACUCUUGGAAACAGAUCGCCCUAUAGUCUAAACACCUACAGAGAUACCAGAACAAUACAAACAACUUAACGAACUGCACAACGAUAGAAUAAGAAGACUAGGCUUCUCACCCUGGAGAACCCCCAGUCUUAUUCUCCCAGAGAUCGACGGAUUGCAUCGUAUGUGCCUCGGAUAUCGAGGAUUCCGUCAAGAUUUUCAUUAGAAAUUGUUAUCUCUGCCUCGCAUAGAUGAAAUGGUUGAGCAAACGCAAGGAAAGAAUUACUUUCAGAAAUAGAUAUGAUAUCCGAAUAUCACCAGUUCGAGUGUUAGGGAAGGAUGUCCGGAAUACUAUCUUCCAAACUCAAUGCGGACACUUCGAGUCCGUAGUGAUACCCUUCGGAUAGGACCAAUACGCCCAUAGCUUUCAUGAGCUAAACGAAUAGGGUACGUCUUUCUUACUUGGAUCAGUUCAUCAUUUCUCCAUGUAAUGACUUACUUAUCUACCCUUGUAGUAAGAAGGAUCCCAUGGAAACAUUACCUUCAGAGGAACAUUUCGCGAAGUUCUCUAAGCAUGAGUUUUGAAAUUGAAGAGUCGAAUUUCUAUGACACACUGUUAGUAAUGUGGGAAAUUUUGAGUACUUUUUCAGUUUGUCAAAACCAUUGAGCAUUUGUCGACACCGGAGACGCCGACAGUCAUUCGCCAAAUUCUAGGUCUUACCGACCUACUAUCUUAGUUCAUUCAGAACUCCUCGCAAAUUACAGAAACCCGUACGACUUUGACCCAGCAAGGGGUGGCCUUUGACUGGGAAGUUAAGCAAGAAAAGGAACCUUUGGAAUUCCAUGUGAGCGACCAAGUUCUUUAGGAGAACUCACUCAGGGAAUGGCUUAAUACGCUUCGUAUCGUGUGGAAAGCUAAAUCUAAUAUAGUUAGGACCUCUGAGAUUCUUAUCAGAAUCGGUCCUAUGCCUCGCGCAAACUAGACCUACCCUGCGAACUCAGUAACGUACAUUAUACUCUUAGCGUCUCGAGCAUGAAACCAUACCUUUCCGUUAGGACUCUUGUAAGUCCAUUCGUCGAGAUCCUCGCCUUCGUAUUAGAACCGUAGUGACCCUUGACCGAGAGGUCAAGCAGACGAAGCAACACCAUUGCCAGUUAGUGAAGGUUCAUUGGAAUGCCAACUGAGAACCCGUUUUCACUUAGGUGCGCUAUAACCAAUCGAUUAGGAAGUUUCCUCCUCACGACUCGAUCAUUCAUACCUACUUCCUUGCCUAAAUUCUAAUUUCGGGACGAAAUUCCCUUCAACAGGGGGAUGAUGUGACAACCCGAAAUUUCCAUUCUGAACAAACCAUAUCAAUCCAAUAGAAGUUAGAACAGUUACAGUGAAAUUCCAGACUUCGAGUAUAAGUUUGGCAGUUUUUCAGGAUUUACACUUAAGGAGAUAUCAGGAGAGUGGAUGCACUAGGGUUUUGUGCAACACUGUUAUUCCAAAACUCUAGGAUAGUAAAGUUCAUUCCGGGAAUAAAAAUAUUUUCUGCCAAAAAAAUCUCAGGACUAUAAAUAGAGUUCUGAACAAAAUUCAUUCAUUAUUCGCAUUUUCAACUAGAGAAAAGCCAUUUUCUCUCUCACGGAUCUUCGGGUUUUUUUAUCCCAAAUCGAUCAUUGUGUGUGUCUAAAGUCUUCACUUGACACCAAGCACUUGUCCGAUCCUUCCUUACGAUAACAGUCCGUUCAAUUCCAGUCACUUACUGCAGGUGAGUUCAUACCCUUUAAAUAAUGUUUUAAACUACUUUUAAAUGUUUUAUAAGGGGGGAUACAAGUAGAAUCAUGCUUGUUAUUAUAAAUAAUGUUUUAAACUACUUUUAAAUGUUUUAUAAGGGGGGAUACAAGUAGAAUCAUGCUAGUUAUUAUAUCAAUCACAUGUGAUUAAUAAGUAGAAUUAUGCUAGUUAUUAUAUCAAUUACAUGUGAUUAAUAUGCAGCAUUCAAUUGAUUUACUACACAUUAACCGUUUUACCAAACAGGUUCUUCAAAUGAUUUUCUUAAAUGUUUUAUAUGUUUAAAAAUAUUUAUUAAAUUGUUCAUUAAACACUGUAUGACCCUUUUCAAACUAUUUUACUCCAAGCUAUUACCAAAUCGUUUUACUUCAAACUGUUUUCACUUCAAACUGUUUUCACUUCGAACUGUUUUAUCGAUUAACAUCAAGUCGAUCUUCUCUUAAGAUAAUAAUUAUGUUCAAAGGUUUUACAAAACUUAUUUAUGCUUUUAUAUUAUAAAUUGCAUGCCUCUAUAUGUAUAGUUAUAUAAGAAAUGUUUAAAAGACUUAGGAAGGCUAUCCACCCUAUUUCCUUUUCGCGCUUGAGAUGUGGUCUGGUGGGAUAUCGGGUACUCGUCCGAAGGUCGUUUAAAUAUUAGUUAUAUAACAUAUGUACAUAUAUAGUCAUAAAGGCCCUUCCAGUUCAUCCAAUGCCCUUGGGUAGCAAGGGUAUACAUCCAUGUCCAUACGUACCAGUUAGAUUACUAGUAAACUACCAUAUGGGUAGUUUAGGAAGAUACUAGAACUAUUACUAGAACGCGAUAUCAUACUAUGAGUCAGUUCAUUCAUGAGUCAAUACUUACUACUAGAAGAACAUAUACAACUAUACUAGAGAAGAACAUAUACAACUAUACUAGAGAAGAACAUAUACAACUAUACUAGAAAGAGAACAUAUACAACGAUACCAGAACGAUUACAUUACUAUACUUGCUAGAUAGAGAGAGAACACACAUUUCAGCUAGCACACGUAGAACAUUACAGUACACUACUAUACUAUUACAUGAUCACACUUACAUAAGUACAAUUACAUGAUCACACUUACAUGAGUACGCUUACAUAUACAUAGAACAGAC
Molecule: long non-coding RNA, 7862 nt
Filed under: Lactuca sativa (garden lettuce)
Lineage: Eukaryota; Viridiplantae; Streptophyta; Magnoliopsida; Asterales; Asteraceae
Description: long non-coding RNA (LSAT_LNC003022)
Source: RNAcentral